RNAcentral lists this non-coding RNA (30 nucleotides) under Mus musculus (house mouse). The record is from RNAcentral. Lineage: Eukaryota; Metazoa; Chordata; Mammalia; Rodentia; Muridae.
UCACACUCUGAAUCCUGGAGCCAGCAGACC